Molecule: ribosomal RNA, 400 nt
Filed under: uncultured bacterium
Lineage: Bacteria
Description: bacterial SSU rRNA
Rfam family: Bacterial small subunit ribosomal RNA
Source: RNAcentral
UGGGGAAUUUUGCGCAAUGGGGGCAACCCUGACGCAGCAACGCCGCGUGAGUGACGACGCCCUUCGGGGUGUAAAGCUCUGUUGCCCGGGACGAAGUCUUGGAGGUGAACAACCUCCGGGGAUGACGGUACCGGGUGAGGAAGCCCCGGCUAACUCCGUGCCAGCAGCCGCGGUAAGACGGAGGGGGCAAGCGUUGUUCGGAAUCACUGGGCGUAAAGCGCGCGUAGGCGGUACAGUAAGGGGAUCGUGAAAGCCCUCGGCUUAGCUGGGGAAGGGCGGUGCCGACUGCUGAACUGGAGUGGCAGAGGGGAUGGCGGAAUUCCUGGUGGAGCGGUGAAAUGCGUAGAGAUCAGGAAGAACGUCGGUGGCGAAGGCGGCCAUCUGGCUGCACACUGACGCU